GAUCCUGGCUCAGGAUGAACGCUAGCUACAGGCUUAACACAUGCAAGUCGAGGGGCAGCAUAUUUCUAGCAAUAGAGAUGAUGGCGACCGGCGCACGGGUGAGUAACACGUAUCCAACCUGCCUUAUACUCGGGGAUAGCCUUUCGAAAGAAAGAUUAAUACCCGAUGUUAUAGUCUAACCGCAUGAUUUGACUAUAAAAGAUUUUCGGUAUAAGAUGGGGAUGCGUUCCAUUGAUUG
Molecule: ribosomal RNA, 238 nt
Filed under: uncultured bacterium
Lineage: Bacteria
Description: partial 16S ribosomal RNA
Rfam family: Bacterial small subunit ribosomal RNA
Source: RNAcentral